RNAcentral lists this transfer RNA (86 nucleotides) under Deltaproteobacteria bacterium. Its description in RNAcentral is "tRNA-Tyr". It matches the Rfam family "tRNA". From Rfam's summary of the family: Transfer RNA (tRNA) molecules are approximately 80 nucleotides in length. Their secondary structure includes four short double-helical elements and three loops (D, anti-codon, and T loops). Lineage: Bacteria; Pseudomonadati; Myxococcota; Myxococcia. The record is from RNAcentral.
GGAAGGGUGCCCGAGUGGUUAAAGGGGACGGGCUGUAAACCCGUUGACUCACGUCUACGUAGGUUCGAAACCUACCCCUUCCACCA